This 552-nucleotide long non-coding RNA is filed under the name Heterocephalus glaber (naked mole-rat). Its description in RNAcentral is "lncRNA (ENSHGLG00100043516.1)". The record is from RNAcentral. Lineage: Eukaryota; Metazoa; Chordata; Mammalia; Rodentia; Bathyergidae.
GUCUACCCAAGACUGUCAUGUCUUACAAAGGAACCAGCAACAAGCACCUACAAAAGUCCUGGAAUUUUCCUGUAAAAGCUAUACCUGGGGCUGGAAUCAUCAGCAAUUAUUCAUCAAUAAGGAAGAAGAGAUAGUGACAUUUGAAUUAAGACCAGAAGGAAGUGAGAAAAUGAAUAAUGCAAACAUUUGGGGAAAGAGCACUCUAGGCAGAGGAGGCAACUGCAAAGGCCACUGUUGUGGGUAUAAUUGUGUUCUCCUGAAAGGUUAUCACACUUUUUAUUGCUGCAUCGUUUCAACCUCAUGCUUAAGCAAUCCUAAAGGGCAAGAAAAUGAACCCACUAAACAUUUAUGCUUCAAAAUCACCAUAUGAGAUGGAAACUACUCUCCUUGCCUUAGAAAGGAAAGAACUAAGGCUCAGACAAGAUCAUAUGGUUAAUAAAUAGGAAGACGAAGAAUGGAACCAGGUUGUUGGCCUCCAAAUCUGGUGUCUCACUGUUGUACUUCAACUGACUCACAGUUUCUUCAAGCCUUUGUUAUUCUACAAAAAUACAG